This 437-nucleotide long non-coding RNA is filed under the name Homo sapiens (human). Its description in RNAcentral is "HSALNT0308763". Lineage: Eukaryota; Metazoa; Chordata; Mammalia; Primates; Hominidae. The record is from RNAcentral.
AUUAACAAACACAUUCCAUACAUAGUCAUAAACAUAAAAUUUCUGAAUUUCAGAGACAAAGGAGAAUCUUUAAAUGGAAAGUUAAAGGUAUCCUGACAUACAGCUGCAGAGACAGACACUGUAUUGCCUCGGGGAGAACUCCAGCCCCAAAGGGCACUUGCCCCUUUGGAGUCAGCCACCAUGUUAUGAGGAAGUCUGGGACACAUGAAGAGGCCACAUGCACUUAUUCUGUCUAAAAGCCCUAGCUAAUUGCAAGGCUGACAGCCAGCAGCAACUAUCAUUUUUGUGAAUAAAUAAGUCUUCAGAUGAUUCCAAAUCCCAGCCUUUGAGUCACCCCAGCUGAUGUCAAGUAGAGCAAAGAUGAGCUAUCCUCACCGAACUCCAUCUAAAUUGCUGAUUCCUGAGCAAAAUAAAUGUCAUUGUUCUAAGUCUCUAAA